This 440-nucleotide ribosomal RNA is filed under the name uncultured bacterium. RNAcentral describes it as "partial 16S ribosomal RNA". It matches the Rfam family "Bacterial small subunit ribosomal RNA", at positions 338 to 795 of the family's 1533-position model. The record is from RNAcentral.
CCUACGGGAUGCAGCAGUGGGGAAUAUUGCUCAAUGGGGGAAACCCUGAAGCAGCGACGCCGCGUGCAGGAUGAAGGCUUUAGGUAUGUAAACCUCUUUUGUUAGGGAAGAAAACUACGGUACCUGAUGCAUAAGCCCCGGCCAACUACGUGCCAGCAGCCGCGGUAAUACGGAGGGGGCAAGCGUUAUCCGGAUUCACUGGGCGUAAAGAGUGCGUAGGGGGGUGCGUAAGUCUGAGGUGAAAUCCUGGGGCUUAACCGCGGAACUGCAUUGGAAACUGUGCGUCUAGAGUGCGGGAGAGGUAGGUGGAAUGCGUGGUGUAGCGGUGAAAUGCGUAGAUAUCAAGAGGAACACCGAUUGCGAAGGCGGCCUACUGGAACGUUACUGACGCUGAGGCUCGAAGGCGUGGGGAGCAAACAGGAUUAGAUACCCCAGUAGUC